GGUUCCUUAGCUCAGCUGGUUAGAGCAUCUGACUCUUAAUCAGAGGGUCCUGGGUUCGAGUCCCAGAGGAACCACCA
This 77-nucleotide transfer RNA is filed under the name Acidobacteriota bacterium. Its description in RNAcentral is "tRNA-Lys". It matches the Rfam family "tRNA". From Rfam's summary of the family: Transfer RNA (tRNA) molecules are approximately 80 nucleotides in length. Their secondary structure includes four short double-helical elements and three loops (D, anti-codon, and T loops). The record is from RNAcentral. Lineage: Bacteria; Pseudomonadati; Acidobacteriota.